UAAAGGGGACUGCCUGGGAUAACCAGGAGGAAGGCGGGGAUGACGUCAAGUCAGCAUGGCCCUUACGUCCAGGGCUACACACGUGCUACAAUGGCCGGUACAGAGGGAAGCAAUACCGCGAGGUGGAGCAAAUCCCAUAAAGCCGGCCUCAGUUCAGAUCGGAGGCUGCAACUCGCCUCCGUGAAGGCGGAAUCGCUAGUAAUCGCGGAUCAGCAGGCCGCGGUGAAUACGUUCCCGGGCCUU
This 243-nucleotide ribosomal RNA is filed under the name uncultured Desulfuromonas sp. RNAcentral describes it as "partial 16S ribosomal RNA". It matches the Rfam family "Bacterial small subunit ribosomal RNA", at positions 1140 to 1382 of the family's 1533-position model. Lineage: Bacteria; Pseudomonadati; Thermodesulfobacteriota; Desulfuromonadia; Desulfuromonadales; Desulfuromonadaceae. The record is from RNAcentral.